RNAcentral lists this ribosomal RNA (468 nucleotides) under uncultured bacterium. RNAcentral's name for it is "partial 16S ribosomal RNA". It matches the Rfam family "Bacterial small subunit ribosomal RNA", at positions 28 to 507 of the family's 1533-position model. The record is from RNAcentral.
GACGAACGCUGGCGGCGUGCUUAACACAUGCAAGUCGAACGGAAAGGCCCUGCUUUUGUGGGGUGCUCGAGUGGCGAACGGGGGAGUAACACGUGAGUAACCUGCCCUUGACUUUGGGAUAACUUCAGGAAACUGGGGCUAAUACCGGAUAGGAGCUCCUGCUGCAUGGUGGGGGUUGGAAAGAUUCGGCGGUUGGGGAUGGACUCGCGGCUUAUCAGCUUGUUGGUGGGGUAGUGGCUUACCAAGGCUUUGACGGGUAGCCGGCCUGAGAGGGUGACCGGCCACAUUGGGACUGAGAUACGGCCCAGACUCCUACGGGAGGCAGCAGUGGGGAAUAUUGCACAAUGGGCGGAAGCCUGAUGCAGCAACGCCGCGUGCGGGAUGACGGCCUUCGGGUUGUAAACCGCUUUCGCCUGUGACGAAGCGUGAGUGACGGUAAUGGGUAAAGAAGCACCGGCUAACUACGUG